This is a long non-coding RNA of Strigops habroptila (Kakapo), 417 nucleotides long. RefSeq lists it as uncharacterized. NCBI's taxonomy places the organism in Eukaryota, Metazoa, Chordata, Aves, Psittaciformes, Psittacidae. The record is from RefSeq and is a predicted model, not a curated record. The transcript is spliced from 2 exons.
CCCCGGUGGCGGAUCGGGGGAGGGACCGCGCGGUCCCCCCUCGGGGCCGGAGGCGGUGGCGGGCUCCCGUGCCGAGAGGUUCCUUGCAAGCGGCCGGUGCCCGAUAGCUCAUCUGCUUCCGACGGGACGAGAAGCGGCCGUUCUCCCCGAGAUCCCUUCGAGUCACCCUGGUGAUAACCCCCUGCCAGCCGAACCCGAACAAAAGCCGCGGUGCCCCUAGCCCCGGCGCUCCCCUUGGCCGAGCAACAGGCCGGGGCAGGCGGCGGAGUAGGGCUCGUCUCUUGACCGGGGAGAGGGGCAGCCCCGGCUCUGGAAGGAGACGCGGGACCGAGUCAGCGAGCGCCUUGUUUACCCUACAAUUGCUCUAACCCCCGAUCUUAAUCACAGGAUGAGAAACCAAAACAGUUUAAACCGUGA